Molecule: ribosomal RNA, 430 nt
Filed under: Actinomycetes bacterium
Lineage: Bacteria; Bacillati; Actinomycetota; Actinomycetes
Description: Actinobacteria bacterium partial 16S ribosomal RNA
Rfam family: Bacterial small subunit ribosomal RNA
Source: RNAcentral
UAGGGAAUCUUCCGCAAUGGGCGAAAGCCUGACGGAGCAACGCCGCGUGAGUGAUGAAGGUCUUCGGAUCGUAAAACUCUGUUAUUAGGGAAGAACAAAUGUGUAAGUAACUAUGCACGUCUUUACGGUACCUAAUCAGAAAGCCACGGCUAACUACGUGCCAGCAGCCGCGGUAAUACGUAGGUGGCAAGCGUUAUCCGGAAUUAUUGGGCGUAAAGCGCGCGUAGGCGGUUUUUUAAGUCUGAUGUGAAAGCCCACGGCUCAACCGUGGAGGGUCAUUGGAAACUAGAAAACUUGAGUGCAGAAGAGGAAAGUGGAAUUCCAUGUGUAGCGGUGAAAUGCGCAGAGAUAUGGAGGAACACCAGUGGCGAAGGCGACUUUCUGGUCUGUAACUGACGCUGAUGUGCGAAAGCGUGGGGAUCAAACAGGA